This 292-nucleotide ribosomal RNA is filed under the name uncultured bacterium. RNAcentral's name for it is "partial 16S ribosomal RNA". It matches the Rfam family "Bacterial small subunit ribosomal RNA", at positions 505 to 796 of the family's 1533-position model. The record is from RNAcentral.
GUGUCAGCCGCCGCGGUAAUACGGAGGGGGCUAGCGUUAUUCGGAAUUAUUGGGCGUAAAGGGCGUGUAGGCGGCUUCGUGUGUCCCAUGUGAAAGCCCUCGGCUCAACCGGGGAACUGCAUGGGAAACUGCGGAGCUUGAGUCCGGGAGAGGUGAGUGGAAUUCCCAGUGUAGCGGUGAAAUGCGUAGAUAUUGGGAGGAACACCGGUGGCGAAGGCGGCUCACUGGACCGGUACUGACGCUGAGACGCGAAAGCCAGGGGAGCAAACGGGAUUAGAAACCCCCGUAGUCC